This 1439-nucleotide small RNA is filed under the name Pan troglodytes (chimpanzee). Its description in RNAcentral is "retained intron". Lineage: Eukaryota; Metazoa; Chordata; Mammalia; Primates; Hominidae. The record is from RNAcentral.
UGCACAGCCAGCGGCUAGAUGGUUACCGGGGAGACUUUGAGACCUUCAUCAAGAGUAAGCAGGAGCGGCUGCUCAACCAGCAGCGUGAAUAUGAGGCGCAGCAGCAGUAUCGCCAGCACAUCCAGGUUUUCAUUGACCGGUUUCGCUACAAUGCCAACAGGGCCUCUCAAGUGCAGAGUAAACUCAAGAUGCUGGAGAAGCUGCCUGAGCUGAAGCCUGUGGACAAGGAAUCAGAGGUCGUAAUGAAGUAAGUGCUGGGCCAGUGGGGCUGGUGGGGAAUUGCUUGCUUCCAGCUGCCCCCACAUCCUCACCCCUACCUCCUGCAGGUUCCCUGAUGGGUUUGAGAAGUUCUCGCCGCCAAUUCUGCAGCUAGAUGAGGUGGAUUUCUACUACGAUCCAAAGCACGUCAUCUUCAGUCGCCUCUCUGUGUCUGCUGAUCUCGAGUCUCGCAUCUGUGUGGUUGGAGAGAAUGGGGCUGGGAAGUCUACCAUGCUGAAGCUGCUUUUGGGGGAUCUGGCACCUGUUCGGGGCAUCAGACACGCUCACAGGUCAGGCCCACCCGCACCCCUGCCCCCAUGAGCACAUUUGCAGGCACCCAUGCUGCCUGCGCUCCUUCGUGGCCAUUGCCUUUGUCUGCUUUUCCACCUCGGCUUCUGCCUGCAGGAAUCUGAAGAUUGGCUAUUUCAGCCAGCACCAUGUGGAGCAGCUGGACCUAAACGUCAGUGCUGUGGAACUGCUGGCACGCAAGUUUCCUGGGCGGCCUGAGGAGGAGUACCGUCACCAGCUGGGUCGGUAUGGCAUCUCCGGAGAACUGGCCAUGCGUCCUGUUGCCAGCUUGUCUGGGGGCCAGAAGAGCCGAGUGGCCUUUGCUCAGAUGACUAUGCCCUGCCCCAACUUCUACAUUCUGGAUGAACCCACAAACCACCUGGACAUGGAGACCAUUGAGGCUCUGGGCCGUGCCCUCAACAAUUUCAGGGGUGGUGUGAUUCUGGUGUCCCACGAUGAGCGCUUUAUCAGGCUGGUGUGCCGGGAGUUGUGGGUGUGCGAAGGAGGCGGCGUCACCCGUGUGGAAGGAGGAUUUGACCAGUACCGCGCCCUCCUCCAGGAACAGUUCCGCCGCGAAGGCUUCCUCUAGGGCCAUCAGGCUGAGGACUCGCCCAGGACAUGGACUGGCCUCUCAGACCCCUGGGCCACCACAUAGGCCACCACUCCAGGCCGUGGACUUCCCCCAACUUGGGGACAGCCUUAUUCCCAAAUGUCUCUAUCCUUUUGACUGGAGCAUCUUCUGCACAACCUUGGGAGCCCAUCCAAGGGUUGGUGAGGACUGGUCUCCCGGGGGCGGGGGUCUGGGGGGUACCCUCUGGGGUUAUAGAUUCCCCCACUGCCCCAGCUCUGACUGGACCCCAAGUGGCUGCUAUGUAAAUUAAAUCUCUCCCCGC